RNAcentral lists this ribosomal RNA (1352 nucleotides) under Staphylococcus aureus H19392. RNAcentral's name for it is "bacterial SSU rRNA". It matches the Rfam family "Bacterial small subunit ribosomal RNA", at positions 8 to 1341 of the family's 1533-position model. RNAcentral also lists the same sequence under 1 other name. The record is from RNAcentral. Lineage: Bacteria; Bacillati; Bacillota; Bacilli; Caryophanales; Staphylococcaceae.
AGAGUUUGAUCCUGGCUCAGGAUGAACGCUGGCGGCGUGCCUAAUACAUGCAAGUCGAGCGAACGGACGAGAAGCUUGCUUCUCUGAUGUUAGCGGCGGACGGGUGAGUAACACGUGGAUAACCUACCUAUAAGACUGGGAUAACUUCGGGAAACCGGAGCUAAUACCGGAUAAUAUUUUGAACCGCAUGGUUCAAAAGUGAAAGACGGUCUUGCUGUCACUUAUAGAUGGAUCCGCGCUGCAUUAGCUAGUUGGUAAGGUAACGGCUUACCAAGGCAACGAUGCAUAGCCGACCUGAGAGGGUGAUCGGCCACACUGGAACUGAGACACGGUCCAGACUCCUACGGGAGGCAGCAGUAGGGAAUCUUCCGCAAUGGGCGAAAGCCUGACGGAGCAACGCCGCGUGAGUGAUGAAGGUCUUCGGAUCGUAAAACUCUGUUAUUAGGGAAGAACAUAUGUGUAAGUAACUGUGCACAUCUUGACGGUACCUAAUCAGAAAGCCACGGCUAACUACGUGCCAGCAGCCGCGGUAAUACGUAGGUGGCAAGCGUUAUCCGGAAUUAUUGGGCGUAAAGCGCGCGUAGGCGGUUUUUUAAGUCUGAUGUGAAAGCCCACGGCUCAACCGUGGAGGGUCAUUGGAAACUGGAAAACUUGAGUGCAGAAGAGGAAAGUGGAAUUCCAUGUGUAGCGGUGAAAUGCGCAGAGAUAUGGAGGAACACCAGUGGCGAAGGCGACUUUCUGGUCUGUAACUGACGCUGAUGUGCGAAAGCGUGGGGAUCAAACAGGAUUAGAUACCCUGGUAGUCCACGCCGUAAACGAUGAGUGCUAAGUGUUAGGGGGUUUCCGCCCCUUAGUGCUGCAGCUAACGCAUUAAGCACUCCGCCUGGGGAGUACGACCGCAAGGUUGAAACUCAAAGGAAUUGACGGGGACCCGCACAAGCGGUGGAGCAUGUGGUUUAAUUCGAAGCAACGCGAAGAACCUUACCAAAUCUUGACAUCCUUUGACAACUCUAGAGAUAGAGCUUUCCCCUUCGGGGGACAAAGUGACAGGUGGUGCAUGGUUGUCGUCAGCUCGUGUCGUGAGAUGUUGGGUUAAGUCCCGCAACGAGCGCAACCCUUAAGCUUAGUUGCCAUCAUUAAGUUGGGCACUCUAAGUUGACUGCCGGUGACAAACCGGAGGAAGGUGGGGAUGACGUCAAAUCAUCAUGCCCCUUAUGAUUUGGGCUACACACGUGCUACAAUGGACAAUACAAAGGGCAGCGAAACCGUGAGGUCAAGCAAAUCCCAUAAAGUUGUUCUCAGUUCGGAUUGUAGUCUGCAACUCGACUACAUGAAGCUGGAAUCGCUAGUAA